RNAcentral lists this transfer RNA (72 nucleotides) under Camelus bactrianus (Bactrian camel). It matches the Rfam family "tRNA". From Rfam's summary of the family: Transfer RNA (tRNA) molecules are approximately 80 nucleotides in length. Their secondary structure includes four short double-helical elements and three loops (D, anti-codon, and T loops). RNAcentral also lists the same sequence under 1 other name. The record is from Rfam by way of RNAcentral. Lineage: Eukaryota; Metazoa; Chordata; Mammalia; Artiodactyla; Camelidae.
GCGGGCACAGCUCAGUGGUGGAGCAUGUGCUUAGCAUGCACGAGGUCCUGGGUGCAAUUCCCGGUACCUCCA